Zea mays is the source of this 362-nucleotide long non-coding RNA. RefSeq lists it as uncharacterized. Lineage: Eukaryota; Viridiplantae; Streptophyta; Magnoliopsida; Poales; Poaceae. The record is from RefSeq and is a predicted model, not a curated record. The transcript has 3 exons.
UCGCUUCAGAGUCUGCUUUUAGUACUAGUGGUAGAGUGCUAAGUGAUCAUCGAAGUCGACUUACUCCCAAAACUUUAGAGGUUUUGAUGUGUGCACAAAAUUGGCUUCGUGUUGGUCAAGCAAAAGGAAAAGAAGAUUAUAUGGGUUUGUGGACUUGUCUUGAAGAUAUACAAGAAGAACUUGUGGAACUCUCCUUUGGAUUCUCCAUGAUGCCAAAUGAAGAAAUUUGAAGGAAAAUUCACAAGAUGUCAAAUGAAGUUGAAUGCCAUUCAGCCAUGCUCAUUACAAUAAUUUGUUGUUGCAUUUUGAAAACUAUGUAUGACUGUAAUUUCAUUCCAAGAACAUGUUUUAUGAUGUAUUGU